GAGCAAAGAGGGAGGGCAAGCUGGAUUUUCGGGCCAUCUCAUUUCUUGCUCGCCUUUUUAGCCCCCUUGACCCCCUCGAGAAAAGGAUGCGUCCUCCAAUUUGUCUGUCUUUGCUGAGCUGUUUGCCCGGCGCCAACCCUCCCCCGCCCGCGCCGGUUCGCCUCUUCUGCCUGGAGACUGGCGCUUAGAACCUAACCUAGCGGAGGCAGCCGCCAGCAUACAGCCAACUGCACACGCACUCAGACUCCCCACCCCCACGACGGAUCCCCAAGUCCACACACACCACGGCAGACAGAUCUACAAGCACAACGACAGUCCAUCGCAGGCAGACACGACGGUACCCAAGCAUGCACAGCCAUAUUGGACAGCCCAACACCGACUCGGGAUGCAACACACACACUCCCACUCCCACACUCCCUCUCUUCAGAAACAGAUUUAGACCCUCUAUGAGAAAACAAAAUAAACAAGAUGCAAACACU
Marmota flaviventris (yellow-bellied marmot) is the source of this 479-nucleotide long non-coding RNA. RefSeq lists it as uncharacterized. The record is from RefSeq and is a predicted model, not a curated record. NCBI's taxonomy places the organism in Eukaryota, Metazoa, Chordata, Mammalia, Rodentia, Sciuridae.